This 351-nucleotide small RNA is filed under the name Pongo abelii (Sumatran orangutan). RNAcentral's name for it is "processed transcript". Lineage: Eukaryota; Metazoa; Chordata; Mammalia; Primates; Hominidae. The record is from RNAcentral.
AAAACAACGGAGGCUGCGGUGUGGUUGGUGGUGAGAUGACGACCUUAGUGCUGGAUAACGGAGCUUACAACGCCAAAAUCGGUUACAGUCAUGAAAAUGUGUCGGUUAUUCCUAAUUGUCAGUUCCGGUCAAAAACAGCACGUCUUAAAACUUUUACUGCCAACCAGAUAGAUGAAAUAAAAGACCCUUCUGGACUCUUUUACAUCCUUCCUUUUCAAAAGGGCUACUUGGUGAAUUGGGAUGUUCAAAGACAAGUUUGGGAUUACCUUUUUGGAAAAGAAAUGUAUCAGGCCAAGCGCGGUGGCUCAUGCCUGUAAUCCUGGCACUUUGGGAGGCUGAGGCGGGUCGAUC